UCUGAGGUUUGAAAUUAAACUUGAAUUUAGCAUUCAAUUUAGAUUUAACACAAGCUAGCUGAGCAGUGAAUUUGUAAGCUCUUUUUGGGAAAACAUACUGAGAAAAGAUUGUGGAUGAAUGUUGCAAUUUAGCAAUCUUUUAAAAGGAAUACUUCUGUAUUUUGAUUUUACAUAAGUUAAAUUUAAUUAACUUGACUUAAUGCUCAGACCUUUCAAAAAUAGUAAUAAUAACUUUAUUUACAGAACACAAUAAUAAUGAUAUGAUUUAGAUGUAUUUCUCUAAAGUAAAUUAUGACAACAUAGGCACUAUUUGCAUACAACAUUCAAGUGUCCUUGACUACAUGCUGAAGUGCCCAGUUAAAAGUUAAUUGUCUGUAUAAAGAUUAUAUUUCUUAUUUAAGACUUGUCCAGAGAUAAAUGGUCAGGAAACAGAAAAACAAAGCAAGGAACUUAGUACCAACAUCCAGGAGUUUAGGAAAGUCCGGAAUUGCCCAAGGAAAGUGGCAAAAGGAAAGAAAUACCAGUUUCAAAAGUAAAGGAACCCAAAAAGAAGCCGGUAACAGAAAAGCAGGCAAAAAUCAAUUUGGAGAAGGCUGCAGAGGCCCAGUGUAUGUUUGAGGUGGAGGUGGAGACUAAAAGGAAUCAAGAAACAUAUAAAGAUUAAGUGGAAUCAAUGUAUUGUUUUGUAUGUUAAACUUGCUCAAAUUGCACUAUUAUGAUGAUUGAUCUAAAGAAUACCCUGAUUUUUCCAUAUAUUUUAAGAAGGAAAGGUCCAUUGCAUAAUUAUAGUCUUAAAAUAGCAUAAUUUUCCAAGUACAUCAAUUUUCUUGUAUUUUUGUGCAAGUCAAAAGAAUUGUUCAUUGUUGCAUUUUGAAAACAAAAGUCUACACUAGUUUUACUUAGUUUCAUUUAAUUAUUUUUAGUUUUGAUGAUGCAACUCCGUGUUGACAUCUGCAUUAAAUGUAUUAAAUGCAGAUGAUGCAAUAAGUGAAGAUAAUUCUCCACAACCAGUAUAUCAUACCAAUUGACCAAACCAGAGUCCAACAUCUGGAAGGGAAAGUGAACUGGCUGGAGAUGCAGCUUAACCAGGCUUGGGGCUGCAUAUAUGAAUUGCAAAGAAAUGUGCAAUGGUUGAGUCAAUCUUGCAAUCACAACCAAGCAGUUGCAGGUCAAUCAACUCAGGAAAAUGAAGACGUGGAUGUUGUAAAGGUUAAUCCAGAGAGCACAGAAGCCAGCAGUCAGGAAGAAAUCUCUACAGUUGAUCAUCCUUCAGACACUUUAUAUAACAAUUAUACAAAGGUACUUAUGCUUCUGGUGAGCUAAAAAUGUAACUGGAAAUAAGUCUUUCAAAAGGUAUAAUUAUAAUUCUAUAUUUGGUAUUUUUUAAAUUUGUUUUUCAAUUUAAAGAUAUGUAGCAAUGGACACAUCCACAGAAAUUGGUGUUCACAGUCACAGAUGAACAAAAGACUUCAUAGUGGAGAUUUCCUUACAUAUGCCAGUAUCUUGACUUCUGGAAAUAAUCAUGGCAAACUGGCUCUAUGGGCCAAGAUGCUAGGUUUAAAAUUUCCUUCUGCAGACCAGUUUCAUGGAAUCCAAGCAACAUACAUGGUACCAACACAACAGUUGAUAAUUACUGGAAAGACCAUCAGAAGUCAGUCAUUGAAUCUUUCAGGGGAAAGCCAGUUGUUGUUAUGGGUGUGUGUCUUUAAUUACUCAUGUCUUGAAAUGUAUUCUGCAUACAUUUUUUUCCCAACAUGUAGCCAAACAAAUAUUCAUGAUAAUGAGAUAUUAAAUUUACCACAUAGCCCCUUUUGUGAGCGAGCUUACUAAUCAGUGCAAGGCUUAACAGCAGCCAAAGUCAGUCUAAGAAUUUUCACAGUUAAAACUUGAGUGAUAUUUUGUUUUUACAAGGAUAAAUAAGGUUUUUAAUUGGAAAAUAUUUUUACUUGGAACAUUAAAUCUAUCACUGGUAAUUUAUGAUUUCAUAACUUUUUUUCAGAAUUCAGUACAUAACCAUUAAUUAUAAGAAUCCUUUGUUCUGUCUAACAUCUGUACUUUUAGACAAGAUGUCUACUCAUUUCCGUAAAGGAAACGUUGCAAACUGACAAAAGGUUUGCGAAUGAAACAGUGUCGUACAAACUUGAGAUAGCAUAACCUUUUACAGAGUGUAAAAAUGGAAACACUCGUGGGCGGAAGUGAGACAGAAGCUGCGCGCGAGGAGGGAGGCACCUCACCGGAUAAAAUAAGUGAAUUUGUCAGUAAAGGGGAAAGAUUUUCGUAACCAUGACAAAUAUGCUGCAAGAAAUGUCACAUCAUGGUAUAAAGUUAUCUGCAGUUGCUGAAACGGUAGAAAAACUUCAGGCUGAUAUAAAAUCAAUAAAGAGAAAAUAUGCAUCAAACAAUGUGGGUACUUCGAAAAAACGAAAAACAAUAAACCAUGAAACCUCCAGCAGUGACACAUCUUCGGACAACGAUGACGACGAAAAUACAAAUGAUACCAAUAAUGCAGCAGACGUAGCUGCUUUAUCUUCUGACAGACAGUCUGAAACUGAUGAGGAAGAAGAAAAUGAUGAUUAUCUGCAAGAUCUAGAUAAUAAAUUUAAAGGAAAAAUUGAAACGGGGGAGAAAGUGUCAGAAAAGAUUGCUGGAUUUACAAACAGAGGGCUUCGAGCAGAUCCCCAAGAACAAAUAAUGAAGCAACUAAGGGAAAAACACAAAAUACCAAAAACUUUGCCCCUUUUUUUCUCAAAUGACCCCCUUUUGAAAAGUUUAUGGGCCCGAAGGGCCCCUGGAAAUUUGUUCUAGAUUGAACACUGUUUUUUACAAGAAGAUUUUAUAAGAUUUUUGUUCUUCAUGGACCAACACAUGGACGACGGACAAUUGGCCAUCACAAAAGCUCACCUUGAGGACAUUGUCUUUGAUAAAAACACUAAAAUUUGUAUUGUUACAAUUUCUUUCUAUUCUGUUAAAGAAAUUGAUAUGAUUUUUAUGCAAAGUAAUAUGAAAUUUAUUUGCUUAGGAAGAUUAAGUGCUUUACAGUAAUUGGCCUCUCACUUCACAGUAAAUGGCCUCUGAAUCAUUUUAUCUACUUUUGUAUCUAAUCUCUUUCGGUAUCAAGGAGGCUGCCGUCUGCCGUCUCUAUUGUUUGUCCGGCAGUCCGGCAGGGCUCUCAUAUAUAAGGGCUGAACAGAGCAAAAGGGGGGGUUAGUUAGAGUUGGUCAGGAGUUAGUCGGAGUGAGCCAGAGAAUUUGGUAAAAGAUUGAGUAUGAGUUUUUAGGAAAUUUUGUGUAAAUGGAAAUAUGAAUGUUUGUGAAAAUAAAAUUAUAGUAGAAGACUUUGUCCUUCUGUUGUGUUUUAUCAACUCGGCUUCAAGUAAAUGAGGAACUUAUUUAACAUGAUAUUUGCAACAAGGUCUAGCCUUUGAUUGCUACCAUCAAAGGGGCAAUUUUGUUACAGUAUUGUAAAUACUUAAAAUACCGGUAAAUAUAUAUAUAUAGAGAAAACUAGAAAUAUCAGGACAAGUAACUGUCUAGUUAUCGCAACAAUAAACCCAUUUAAUAAAGCAUCCAAAGCUACAAUAGCUAGAUGGGUUUAAAGUGUUCUCAAAGCAUCUGGUAUAGACAGUAAUUUUAAGCCACAUAGCAUAAGAUCAGCAUCUACUUCAAAAGCAAAGAAAGAGGGAGUGAAACUCAAUCACUUAUUAAAAUGCUGAAGGUUGGACAAAUGCAAAAAUUCUAUAAAAGAGAUAUUGUAGAAAUACCAUCUGAAAAGUUUCAAAAUGCUAUUGUAACAGAUGUAUAAAGUUUGCUUAUUAAAAAACUACAGUACAAUUGCUGUUGAUUGUAAAUGCAAAUUUGCAGAAAUUGCUCUAAAAUCUUGUGUGGGGCUCUUAAGGGUGUUAUGCAGGAGAUUAAAUUAAUUAACAAAGACUUACCUUUGUAGAUGGGAAGUUGAAGGUUGAUUGGAUUUCAUCUACUGCAAACUCCUUAAGAGCUCAACACGUCCUUCCCUACCCCACCCAAACUAUAUUUAUAUUCCUUCAAAUUUGCUAAGUGAAAGGUUUUUUUGGAACUACUAAUAGAAGUUUUCAACUUCGAAAAGACAGUAAAGACAGUAAAGGAAAGGAAGGAUAGUAACAAGCACUUAGUACAGGCAUCUCCUUUUAUAUGUAUGCAACAAACACAACAACAACAGCAUACAGUACAUAAGUACAACCACCAUACUCAGGUCUUGCAGGAGUAAGUUAAACAUUAUCUGUAUAUAUAGCUUAACAUCAUGUUAUUAUAUGUAUUACAGAUGAAGGAGUAUACAUGCCUUUUGUGUGGGCUGGAGGGUAUGUACGAAGUAGUGUACUGCCACAUAUACUGUUACAGUAUACAUACUAGGGAAAGACCACCUCAUCUAUGUUCAUGCAGCUAUGCAGCAGUAUCAGAAACGAAACUCAUCAAGCACCUCAAGAAGAGAAACAUCUGCAAAAGGGCUGGCACUGGCAAGACUACAGUCCCUGUUGAAAAGGUUAUACAGAAAGCGCCAAGGGUGAAAGAUGUCAGUACAAUGACAGAAACCACACAAGGAAGCCUAGAAGAGAGGUACAUGUAUAUUGCACUGUUGAACCAGCUUCUUGUACCAGCUCUGGGUGUUCACACUCACCAAGCCAUCUCUUUCUACGACUACUUAGAAAGUAAAGCAAAGGAAGAAGGGGGAAGCCAUGGAUCUGAGACCUCCCACCACCAAUCAGAGUUCCAGCUGAACCAUUACCAUCAGCAAUUCAUUUUUGGAAUUGAGCAGCCGAAGAUUCUAUCUCAAAGUACAUUGAGCGUCUUUGUGUUUAAGGCAAACAUCACCUUCCUUUCAGUUGUACAGUUACAGUCCUUUUUUGACAUGUCAAUUUCAAAAUACUUUUUAAUACUUAAAGAAAGCAACAUUACUAUAGUGAUACACACCAUGUCAUUUAUUUAAUAAGUAAAUAUCAAAAACUAUAUACUAUAUAUAUUUGUUAAGGCAAUGAUUUUUGUUAGUAAAAAAAUUAUGUAUGUGUGAUUAUUUAUUGACUUUUUUUGUCAACUUAAUAGUUUUUCUGAGAUUAAGAGUUUUCUAUAGGAUUUAAGAUCCUCUGAGAAACAAGACCAUCCAAUUAAUUUGUUUAUCAGUACUGGAUCCUAACAUAGCCAGACACAAAAAAGCAUUCAAGUACCUGGCAAGUUUUCUUCCAAAUGUCAACACUGUAUAAGAGACUGGUCAUCUUGACAUGGAGUUGAAUGCUUUUAAUGUUGAUCAACAAGUCAGUGACCUUAGAGGCAGAUAUGAUGAAAAGAGAGUGGAUUCGGGUUUUUGGUGCCAUGUUGGAAAAUUUAAAACAUCUGACAAUCCAAGGUACCCUGUAUUGAACCACCUUGUUUGUGCAAUCUUAACAGCAUUCAGUGGCCGUUUAAUUGAAGGCACCUUCAAUAUAAUGGGGGACAUCA
This is a long non-coding RNA of Ruditapes philippinarum (Manila clam), 5465 nucleotides long. RefSeq lists it as uncharacterized. The transcript has 6 exons. The record is from RefSeq and is a predicted model, not a curated record. NCBI's taxonomy places the organism in Eukaryota, Metazoa, Mollusca, Bivalvia, Venerida, Veneridae.